This 148-nucleotide small RNA is filed under the name Ctenophora environmental sample. RNAcentral describes it as "partial transfer-messenger RNA". The record is from RNAcentral. Lineage: Eukaryota; Metazoa; Ctenophora.
GCUACGUAUAUUUACGUAGAAAAAAUCUUAGAUGCUAACAACAAGGAACAUGCAUGUGGUUCAACCGUUGGGGUGUCUGUUUUCUGGCUGUGAAUCAAUGUGUGCACACCUAAAACUCGACAAUAAGACGAGCCAAUUUUUUUUUGUA